UCAUGGAAAUGGGCAAAAGGCUAUUAUCCUGAUACAUAUCAGGUCAUAUGCACGCAUUUCAUAACCAUAUCAACAGAGGGCAUUCUCUAAAUAUGAACACGAUUCAAUUCACCAUGAUCAAACAUGAAUUUCACAUAAAUCUCAGUCUAUCUUGUCCAUCAGAAAUACUAACAGUUACUGUAUAUACUUGAAAAACCCAAUUUCCAAACCUACAAGAAACGAUCAACAACUUCGUGAGGGUGAUAAAGUCUUGAACUUUGAUAGGCCAAACUGAACAACAUCCAUCCACUGUACAUUUUCAACACUUUCUUUCUCACUUGUCAACAUGAUGAUAAAUCAAUCAAUCAAAUACUGAAAACCCAGAAAGUUCAAGUUCAGUACCUAAUGUGAGAAAUGAAAUCCCAGAAACUGAAACUUUCAACUUCCACAACAUAAAAUAUCAAAACCCCUGUAUGUGAAACUUUCAACUUCCACGAUAAUCACAAGUGAGCAUGCUAGCAAGAUAGCAACAGAAACAGACAGGCAUAGACUACACUGACUGGAUGUUGAAUCUUCAAGAAUUAAUCUCAGAAACCUUGUCUCUCUCUCACCAAGCUCACACCAUAGUCGACCUUUCUUAUCCAUAGCAAUCUCUCUUUAUGAAGCCCAAACAGUUCUAAAAAUAUUUACCCAGAGACAAGAGUAAAUGAGCAAACGUUUGUCGCCGUCGUGUUAAACUCCGCUAGCACCACAGAUCCAGAUGACCUCUCGUACAUAAAGAGUGUUAAAAGAAAGGUUUUAUGAGACUUCAUAGCACUUUCAAGCUGAUGCACCUAGAUCUGCCUUUGGUUCAGGUUUUGCUGGAAGGACUCCCUCCAAAUGCACUUAACGAAGAUAUAGAGCGCUUCCUGUCUGGCUGUGAAUUUGUUCCAUCCUCAAUCAGGAAGUUUGUAAAGUUACUGUAGUAGUUUGCUUUCAAGUUAAACUGUUAUAGAAUUGCUAGAAUUUCUUAAGGUCGUUGCUUGAAAUAUUAUUGCAGGUAUCCAGAUCCCGUUAUGUCUGCAGGAAGAAAGAAUCCCACCACUUUUGAAGAAAAAACAGAUCCCACUACUUCUAAAGGAAAACAAGAUGCCACUACUUCCUGAAGAAAAAAGAGAUCCCAUUGGAAUGGCUACCGUGCUCUUUUCUACACGGACUGAGGCGAUGAAUGCCUUAAUUAAAAAGAAUUGAGGCUUCUGUCUCAAUAAUCAAAUCUCAGUGCGGGUUCUCCAUUAAAGGAUUCUUGCCUGAAACACAGCAUAAUUUAUUAAGAACAUAGUGGAGGUCAUGUUUUUAUGGAAGCAUUGAAUAUUUUUGACGUUUCAAUUAUCAUGAAGGAAUACAAGCUGGCAGCCAGUGGCGGAGCCACACAGGGGCAAGAGGGGGCAAUUGCCACCCCCCCCCCCCCCCCCUCCAAAAUCAGAUCCAAAAAGGAAAUUCCUUUCUCUUUUUCAUUUUUAAUAUAGGGUUUUGGGCUAAGAAUUCUAUGCAUGGUCUGAGAUAUAUAUAGGUAGGCAGCUGAUGGGUUUGAGAAAAGAGUUAGCUUGCCUUGCAGUUAUAUUUUUUAUAUUUGUGCUGUUAGAGACUUCAUCUAUAGGUGAACCAGAUAUCAAAGCUCUAAAAAUACUAUAUGUUAAUUGAUAUGAAUUUUAAUAAAUUAAUAAGUAUUUUGUUAUGAAUUU
This is a long non-coding RNA of Populus trichocarpa (black cottonwood), 1700 nucleotides long. RefSeq lists it as uncharacterized. The record is from RefSeq and is a predicted model, not a curated record. The transcript is spliced from 2 exons. Lineage: Eukaryota; Viridiplantae; Streptophyta; Magnoliopsida; Malpighiales; Salicaceae.